Molecule: ribosomal RNA, 305 nt
Filed under: candidate division WWE3 bacterium RIFOXYA12_FULL_43_11
Lineage: Bacteria; candidate division WWE3
Description: partial 16S ribosomal RNA
Rfam family: Bacterial small subunit ribosomal RNA
Source: RNAcentral
UUUAACUAAGAAUUUGAUCCUGGUUCAGGGUGAAUGCUAGCGGUGUGCCUAAGGUAUGCAAGUCGAACGAUUCUGCAGCAAUGCAAAGUAGUGGCGAACGGCUGAGUAACACGUGGGAAUCUACCCCUAAGUAAGGCAUAGCCCCUCGAAAGAGGGAGUAAUUCCUUAUGUGAAGGAAACUUCAAAGUAGUUUGUGGUGCAAGCCACAGAUGGCGCUUGGGGAUGAGCCCGCGGCCUAUCAGGUAGUUGGUAAGGUAAAAGCCUACCAAGCCUAUGACGGGUAGCUGGUGUUAGCGCAUGACCAG